GACUUUUUCUAUAUACACAAAAGGCCUAUUUCUCUCAACUAUUGUUCACAAAUCUGUCUAAAUCUCCAAAUCUGCACAUUUUAGAGUAGCCUUUUAUUGUGGCCAGCCUAUGGCACACCUGUGCAAUAAUCAUGCUGUCUAAUCAGCAUCUUGAUAUGCCACACCUAUGAGGUGGAUGGAUUAUAUCAGCAAAGAAGAAGUUCUCACUAACACAGAUUUAGACAGAUUUGUGAACAAUAUUUGAGAGAAAUAGGCCUUUUGUGUACAUAGAAAAAGUC
Molecule: non-coding RNA, 278 nt
Organism: Pelobates cultripes (western spadefoot toad)
Lineage: Eukaryota; Metazoa; Chordata; Amphibia; Anura; Pelobatidae
Source: the annotation of a GenBank genome assembly